CCUACGGGUGGCAGCAGUGAGGAAUAUUGGUCAAUGGGCGCGAGCCUGAACCAGCCAAGUCGCGUGAGGGAGGACGGCCCUACGGGUUUUAAACCUCUUUUGCCGGGGAGCAACGGGCGUCACGUGUGGCGCCACUGAGAGUACCCGGAGAAAAAGCAUCGGCUAACGCCGUGCCAGCAGCCGCGGUAAUACGGGGGAUGCGAGGGUUAUCGGGUUUUAUUGGGUUAAAGGGGUGCUUGGGCGGAUCGUUAAGUCAGUGGUCAAAUUGAGGGGCUCAACCCUUUCCCGCCAUUGAAACUGGCGCUCUUGAGUGGAAGAGAGGUAUGCGGAAUGCGUGGUGUAGCGGUGAAAUGCAUAGAUAUCACGCAGAACCCCGGUUGCGAAGGCAGCAUGCCGGCUUCCAACUGACGCUGAAGCACGAAAGCGUGGGGAUCGAACAGGAUUAGAUACCCCUGUAGUC
Molecule: ribosomal RNA, 460 nt
Filed under: uncultured bacterium
Lineage: Bacteria
Description: partial 16S ribosomal RNA
Rfam family: Bacterial small subunit ribosomal RNA
Source: RNAcentral